GUGCACCAGUCGCGAAACUUUACAAUGUGCGAAAGCACGAUAAGGGAACUCUGAGUGCCUCCUAAGGAGGCUGUUCAGGUGUCUAAAAGCACCUGAAGGAAGGGCUGGGUAAGACCGGUGCCAGCCGCCGCGGUAACACCGGCAGCCCAAGUGGUAGCCACGUUUAUUGGGUCUAAAGCGUCCGUAGCCGGCUGGGUAAGUUCCUUGGGAAAUUUGGCUGCUUAACAGUCAAGCUUUCAGGGAAUACUGCCCGGCUUGGGACCGGGAGAGGUCAGAGGUACUCCAGGGGUAGGGGUGAAAUCCAUUAAUCCUUGGGGGACCACCGGUAGCGAAGGCGUCUGACCAGACCGGGUCCGACGGUGAGGGACGAAGGCUAGGGGCGCGAACCGGAUUAGAUACCCGGGUAGU
This 408-nucleotide ribosomal RNA is filed under the name uncultured microorganism. RNAcentral's name for it is "bacterial SSU rRNA". It matches the Rfam family "Archaeal small subunit ribosomal RNA", at positions 330 to 745 of the family's 1478-position model. The record is from RNAcentral.